UACGUAGGGUGCAAGCGUUAAUCGGAAUUACUGGGCGUAAAGCGUGCGCAGGCGGUCUUGCAAGCCAGAUGUGAAAUCCCGGGGCUCAACCUGGGAACUGCAUUUGUGACUGCAAGGCUGGAGUACGGUAGAGGGGGAUGGAAUUCCGCGUGUAGCAGUGAAAUGCGUAGAUAUGCGGAGGAACACCGAUGGCGAAGGCAAUCCCCUGGACCUGUACUGACGCUCAUGCACGAAAGCGUGGGGAGCAAACAGG
This 253-nucleotide ribosomal RNA is filed under the name uncultured bacterium. RNAcentral describes it as "partial 16S ribosomal RNA". It matches the Rfam family "Bacterial small subunit ribosomal RNA", at positions 524 to 776 of the family's 1533-position model. The record is from RNAcentral.